GAUGAAGAACGCAGCAAAAUGCGAUACUUGGUGUGAAUUGCAGAAUCCCGUGAACCAUCGAGUUUUUGAACGCAAGUUGCGCCCGAAGCCUUUUGGCCGAGGGCACGUCUGCCUGGGCAUCACGCAUCGCGUCGCCCCCCACAAAUUCUCCUCAGGGGAGCUUGUGUUUCGGGGGCGGAUACUGGUCUCCCGUGCUCAUGGCGCGGUUGGCCGAAAUAGGAGUCCCUUCGAUGGACGCACGAACUAGUGGUGGUCGUAAAAACCCUCGUCUUUUGUUUCGUGCCGUUAGUCGCGAGGGAAGCUCUUCAAAAACCCCAGCGCGUCGUCUCUUGACGGCGCUUCGACCGCGACCCCAGGUCAGGCGGGACUACCCGCUGAGUUUAAGCAUAUCAAUAAGCGGAGGA
RNAcentral lists this unclassified non-coding RNA (404 nucleotides) under soil metagenome. Its description in RNAcentral is "partial contains 5.8S ribosomal RNA, internal transcribed spacer 2, and large subunit ribosomal RNA". The stretch from base 1 to 122 matches the Rfam family "5.8S ribosomal RNA", at positions 35 to 154 of the family's 154-position model. The record is from RNAcentral.